This 384-nucleotide ribosomal RNA is filed under the name Propithecus diadema (diademed sifaka). RNAcentral describes it as "partial 12S ribosomal RNA". It matches the Rfam family "Bacterial small subunit ribosomal RNA", at positions 801 to 1380 of the family's 1533-position model. Lineage: Eukaryota; Metazoa; Chordata; Mammalia; Primates; Indriidae. The record is from RNAcentral.
AAACUUAAGUAGUUAACAAACAAUACUACUCGCCAGAGUACUACAAGCAACAGCUCAAAACUCAAAGGACUUGGCGGUGCUUUAUACCCCUCUAGAGGAGCCUGUUCUAUAAUCGAUAAACCCCGAUAGACCCUACCACUUCUUGCUAAUCCAAUCUAUAUACCGCCAUCCCCAGCAAACCCUAAUCAAGGCCCUAAAGUAAGCGCAAGCAUAUUACAUAAAAACGUUAGGUCAAGGUGUAGUCUAUGAAGUGGGAAGAAAUGGGCUACAUUUUCUAAUAACAGAAAAGCACAUAUAACAGCAACCUUUAUGAAACUUAAAGGCCAAAGGAGGAUUUAGUAGUAAAUUAAGAAUAGAGAGCUUAAUUGAAUAGGGCCAUGAAGC